UUGAUUGAUUUGAGACUUCAUCUUCCAGACUUGAAGAAUUUGAAGACUUCAACUUGCAGACUUGAAGAAUUUGAUGACUUCAACU
This 85-nucleotide microRNA precursor is filed under the name Solanum tuberosum (potato). RNAcentral's name for it is "MIR8024 microRNA precursor family". It matches the Rfam family "MIR8024 microRNA precursor family". Lineage: Eukaryota; Viridiplantae; Streptophyta; Magnoliopsida; Solanales; Solanaceae. The record is from Rfam by way of RNAcentral.